This is a long non-coding RNA of Pseudophryne corroboree (corroboree frog), 1148 nucleotides long. RefSeq lists it as uncharacterized. Lineage: Eukaryota; Metazoa; Chordata; Amphibia; Anura; Myobatrachidae. The record is from RefSeq and is a predicted model, not a curated record. The transcript is spliced from 3 exons.
CAGACGGAGGGGCUAGGGGCGGUUGGCCCAGAGUGGACACCAUGUGAGUCCCUACUAGGUCCCAUGCAAACAUCCGCGGCCGGCUGACUCUUGCUUCCGAGUUUGCGUUCCAGCAGCUGGAACACAACACAGAAGCUAUUAUCUGCUCCAGGCUCCAGCUAGCUGCCACUUCCGGGUGCCGUUAGACGGGAGCAGUCAGUGUCUGCAGCUGCAGGGCUCGUGUUAGUGGAAACAUGUGACAUGCCGUUGUGGCCGGACAGAGCUGCCAGGGUGGUCAGAAGUGAAGCCAUACCUCAGCAGCGUCAGACAGUGUGCUGGGAGAUAAGGAUCGUCUGACCAUGGAGGACGAUCUGAUUGGAUAGUAUGGGGGCAGGUGGAAGGUGUACUGUGCCUUGCUGAACACUGUUUGCAAGUGAAGCGGGGAAAGGUCCCAUCCAGAGAGGUUCCAGCUCCUGUCUCCAGACUUCUGCUAUAGAGACCCGCACCAGCAUUCCAUCUGCGGUGUAGCCUGACUCUCCGAUCCAUUCUGGACUCACCUGUUUCCAGCUACAACAAUCACCUGCUUCCAGCCCAGCUUCCAGCAGUGUACAGCUUCUCUUAAAGGGCCGGUGUCCUUUCUGCAGUUUACCACUCUCCACCGGUAUUAUUAUUUCACCGCUCUCAAACAAUCACCUGCUUCCAGCCCAGCUUCCAGCAGUGUAUAGCUUCUCUUAAAGGGCCGGUGUCCUUUUCUGCAGUUCACCACUCUCCACCGGUAUUAUUAUUUCACCGCUCUCAAACUCCAAACUUCAUUAUUAUUUCAUCGCUCUCAAGUUCGUUUAUUAUUUAACUGGUUCCAGCCAGUAUCCACUCCGUACCAACAACAGUCUGGUUCCAGCCAGUAUCCACAGCAGCCGUUUUACCUUCAGCAGCCCAGCCUUUCCUGGAACAUCAGCUGGUACGAUCCUGGGUUCUCUCCAUUGCUACAGUCAGGCCUGGUAAGGACUUUCCAACUAGAAGAUUAUAAGAACUGUCUCACACUACUAGUGCCUGUGGCCCUUGCCACCCUGUAGUACCCAGGAAUUGUAUUUAUCCUCUGUUGACUUUUAUGUUUCCUUUUACUGCUGCUGUGUUACGGAGUUUGUCAUAAUAAACAUCAUUGACUUUUA